Molecule: long non-coding RNA, 1473 nt
Filed under: Hordeum vulgare
Lineage: Eukaryota; Viridiplantae; Streptophyta; Magnoliopsida; Poales; Poaceae
Description: long non-coding RNA (HVUL_LNC009776)
Source: RNAcentral
AUUAAGACAAUAGUAGGUUAUUGCUUUCUUGGAACCGUGUUGAAUAAUUAAGAAAAUAGUAGGUUGUUGAGAAAUUCUGUACGACUAGUUUACUAAUAUCAAAUAAAUUUGUUGCAUGCUCCGUUAGUGGUUUAUACUUGAAAUCUGGCUUCUUAGUUUUAGUAAAUAUUACAUCAUCAAAGUUGUUUAAUGCAGGCUGUUGGAGACUGUAUACUCCCUUCUAACUGUUUUAUUACUUGUAUGCAAGAUGAUUGGAGCCUAUUUUUUUCCUUUAAAAGAGCUCUCUAAGAACAAGCACAUCAUCAUUUCACCAUCUUCGGCCGCCCCAGUGUAACUUGUGCUGGACUGACUGCAGCAGUCAUUGCUUGAUAGUAGCAGUAGUAACUCAAGUAAGGUCCAGUAAUAAAUUAUGUAACAUGUGUUCUUGUUCAUUAAUAUCAUAAAAUUAGGAGAAAGGAUUUGGCUUUCGUUUUGCUUUCACUCAAUGAUACUGGUUGUUGUAUAUGGCCAAGAUAAACUGAAUCCUGUGGUUUUCUUUUUGAUGUACACACAUGCACAUGAUGGACACUCAUGAACAGCAACAACCAUAUUACUUACUACCUAGGUGUUUCACAGAUUGUUGUAUUAUUUAUGUUUUUUUUUACUUUCAGAAUUAUUGGGCGCUCAUACUGUCAUCACAUUGUGUGUUUUUCUUGCUGAAUACAUAUAUCUCAAGCAUUGUACUUCUGUGUUUGCUUAGGCGGAUAGCUAGUAAAUGAUUACAUUAACCUGUACUUGUGAUUUCUAUCCCGCGAUCAUGUUCUAAUUAAUGUGCAUAGUCCAAGCACUUGAAUCUUUCUAAAUGCAUGCACAUAAGUUAAGUUAUCUUUUGAGAAAUUUUGGUGCAUUUUUUCUGUUUCUGAAAUAUAAAAUAACUUGCUCCUUUCAGUUGUGGCAUCCCCGUUGUUAUCUUUAUGAUGAUGUUUGGCAAUAAUAUAAUGUAUUUACAGAUUGUUGGCACUCACUAAUAUCAUUGAUAACUAUGCGUUGUUUUUGUUCUUCUAUUUUUAUUUGUGUACAAACUGCCUACAACUUAACAUGUUGUUAGAUGUGCUUUUAUUUUGUUUCUAACCAUUCUAUUUUAUAACAUUUAGAUGAUGGCCUUCAUUCAUGUUUUGUCGUGAGCAUGAUGACGAAGAAGUCAGAAGAAGCAAGGCAUGCAUGAUCUAGGCAUGCAUGCACACUCUCGUAUCAGUUCUUCAGGACAUUGUUUUAGUGCUGAAUUUUCUUGGAAUUUGGAUGUAGUGCUGAUUUUGCUGAGAAUUUGAUGUAUAUUUGCAUGCUAACAAAAUUCAAAUGCUGGGAGUUAUGUACAUAUUCUUAGAAUACUAUUCUAAUUGGAAAAUAUGUUGUCCCUGAAUCUGGGUUGGUUGUACGUUGAUGAUAUAAAUUUUAUUUUGGUAAAAAUAGGCAUGGUCCAAAUCAAGAACUGGC